CUGGCUCAGGACGAACGCUGGCGGCGUGCUUAACACAUGCAAGUCGAACGGGAGUAUUGAAGAAGCUUGCUUAGAGAUACUUAGUGGCGGACGGGUGAGUAACGCGUGAGGAGCUGUCCUAUGCAGGGGGACAACAGCUGGAAACGGCUGCUAAUACCCCAUAAGCCGAGAGGUAAAAGGAUCAAUCCGGCAGAGGAGGUACUCGCGUCCUAUCAGCUAGUAGGUGAGGUAACGGCUCACCUAGGCGAAGACGGGUAGCCGGCCUGAGAGGGCGAACGGCCACACUGGAACUGAGAUACGGUCCAGACUCCUACGGGAGGCAGCAGUGGGGAAUAUUGGGCAAUGGGGGAAAUCCUGACCCAGCGACGCCGCGUGGGUGAAGAAAUCCUUCGGGAUGUAAAGCCCUGUUGUAUGGGAAGAGCGGAAGACGGUACCAUACGAGGAAGCCCCGGCAAACUACGUGCCAGCCGCUGC
RNAcentral lists this ribosomal RNA (474 nucleotides) under uncultured bacterium. Its description in RNAcentral is "bacterial SSU rRNA". It matches the Rfam family "Bacterial small subunit ribosomal RNA", at positions 19 to 518 of the family's 1533-position model. The record is from RNAcentral.